Long non-coding RNA from Talpa occidentalis (Iberian mole), 1576 nucleotides. RefSeq lists it as uncharacterized. The record is from RefSeq and is a predicted model, not a curated record. Lineage: Eukaryota; Metazoa; Chordata; Mammalia; Eulipotyphla; Talpidae. The transcript is spliced from 3 exons.
CUCCGUGACACGCUCCCCUCCCCCGGAGGCUGCGCUGACCGGACAAUGGCCGCUCCGCCCCCUCCCCUCCUGACGCACCCCUUCGGAGGAGUCACAAUGGUCUCGCCCGGGGGAGCCUCCGCCAAAGCCCAGCAGCUGAUCAGCUGGGCUCCGGGCGUGCCACUUUGUUCAGCGCCUCAAAGGAACAGUACGGGGGGUGUGGGCAGAGGCGAGAACGUCGGGCUGUCGGAGACGUCCUUCUGGAGCGUUUUUCGUCUUGAAACUUUUAAACUCUGAGGCAAAUUUACCUUCGCCCCAACCAAAGGAGGGGAGAGGCUUCUGAGGUCUCUGAGGAGCUAUCCCUCCCCCCCUUAAACGCGUUGGUACGCCCCAAGCGGGAGGGGGAGGAGCAGCUUAGUUGUUUAGGGCCACCGGAACGCCUGGAAAGCUGAAUCCACAGCUACUUGAAGGGCAAACUUCUAAGUCCUGCUGCUGCCAGAAAGGUUUCCUGACUCACAAAUGGUUGCUGUUAAACCGCAUCAGGAGGGGAUACGGGAGCCUCACAGGACAUUGUCUAGAUUAAUUUUAUCACCAAAUGUUAUUUUAUUUCUAUAUGAACCAUCUGUUUGUUUAUCCUCUGUGGGUUUGUUAAAGUUGAUAUUGUUUCUUUUGGCCUCUAAACUUCAAAAGACCAAAUAACAUUCAGCUUAGCAUCCUCCUAAAGAUGCUAUUGAUGUUGAAGAUGAUAAUUGCAAAAAUCAAGCCACUUAAAGCCAAAGCAUCUCCAACUGCUCUUGUCUGCAAGUAACAGAAAUCCACUAAACUUCUUCAUGCAAAAAGUACAUAAGUAAUCUUAAGAACCCAAGAGAACAGAGAGCGACAAGAUCCCAUGAAGAACUGAAACGAGGAUGUAAAAUACCAACAGGAAGCCAAGUAACUAUUCCCUCAUUUUCUCUUUUUUUCUCUCCAGUCACAUAUUCUUUCACCUCUACAGAACUGCUUCAUUCUUCUUUGCACACUUUUCACUACUUCCUAGGCAACAUAGUACAUGACUGCCCAAGCUUACCUAUCCUCACUUCAAGAACCAGCAGAAUUGGUAGCUAUGAAUUCCAGAGAAGAGCACCUGAUUGGUCUUUUAUCAGAUGGCUUUUUUCUUGGUAUGGUUGUCUUUGGCCAGUGGAUCGGGGUACAGUCAAGGCUCUUUAUUUUGUAAUGCAAAUAUGGCUACCCCAUCCUCAUAACCUAUAGUUCUCAAAACAGGUCAGUUAUGUUCUUAGCAAAGAUUCCAAAAGCUGCUACCACAAAGUAAAAGACGAAUAAAUUACAGCCUGAAAUUCAAAGAAUAAAGAAUAGAUGUGUUCAAGAAUUUUCAACAAACUAAACUUUAGUUAAGCUUUAGUUCAGGCAUGAAUUUAAAUGCACUCCCUCAAGUCUUCAUUGGCGCCCCCCAGUCCCAAUUAAGGUUAUGUUACACUGUUUUUAAUCUUCUAAGCACCCUUUUCCUUUAGGUCACCUAUCAUAAUUUAUAAUUAAAUAUUUGUUUGUGUGUGCCCUCUCCAAAGAUCAUGGCUGUUUUUUUCUCUGCUGCAUACAUACU